GUGAGGAAUAUUGGUCAAUGGACGAGAGUCUGAACCAGCCAAGUAGCGUGAAGGAUGACUGCCCUAUGGGUUGUAAACUUCUUUUAUAAGGGAAUAAAGUGAGGGACGUGUCCCUUUUUGUAUGUACCUUAUGAAUAAGGAUCGGCUAACUCCGUGCCAGCAGCCGCGGUAAUACGGAGGAUCCGAGCGUUAUCCGGAUUUAUUGGGUUUAAAGGGAGCGUAGGUUGACGUAUAAGUCAGCUGUGAAAGUUUACGGCUCAACCGUGAAAUUGCAGUUGAUACUGUAUGUCUUGAGUGUACAAGAGGUGGGCGGAAUUCGUGGUGUAGCGGUGAAAUGCUUAGAUAUCACGAAGAACUCCAAUUGCGAAGGCAGCUCACUGGGGUACAACUGACACUGAGGCUCGAAAGUGUGGGUAUCAAACAGGAUUAGAUACCCCUGUAGUCC
RNAcentral lists this ribosomal RNA (445 nucleotides) under uncultured bacterium. RNAcentral describes it as "partial 16S ribosomal RNA". It matches the Rfam family "Bacterial small subunit ribosomal RNA", at positions 354 to 796 of the family's 1533-position model. The record is from RNAcentral.